GGCGGUUCUCGGGUGACACACCCCGGAAUCGGGCUCCCUCCUCUCUGGUUCUGGGGUGCGUCACCCGAGAACCACC
This is a non-coding RNA of Myotis lucifugus (little brown bat), 76 nucleotides long. NCBI's taxonomy places the organism in Eukaryota, Metazoa, Chordata, Mammalia, Chiroptera, Vespertilionidae. The record is from Rfam.